Non-coding RNA from Acanthosepion pharaonis, 99 nucleotides. The record is from the annotation of a GenBank genome assembly. Lineage: Eukaryota; Metazoa; Mollusca; Cephalopoda; Sepiida; Sepiidae.
AUUGAAACACUGGUUCCCAUUAUGAUCACCGAAAUUAAGCAAUGUUGACCCUGAUCAUUUCCUGGAUGGGUGACCGCUUGGGGGUAUCAGAUGCUGUAA